UGAAGUUGAUUUAUUGACUCAUUACAUCAGAUGCCUUUAGGACAACAAAUAAUCUGAAACUUGUUUGAUCAUCCGGAUAAAAUUCCCAGAUCAUUAUGUCCACUGACAUUAAACAUCUAGGUCUUUUUCGAUAUUGAUUACUUUGCAGUUUCUACACACAUAAUUAGAUUCACCAUUUUGACAAAUCCCUCCAGUGAGUUUGGUCAAACAACCAGCAUCAUUAUAGAACAUAACCAAGAUGAUGUCAAAGGAUUCUACAGCUCACUGAUCUUCCAAAGGUUCGUUCUGAAGUGUAAUUUUUUGAAGUGUCCAAUUCCAGUCCCAAAGAGAAUUAUGGCCUCCCCACUGAAGCUUCCUGUUUGACCCCGGUGUAUCCCUCUGCCUGCCCCUCACCCAGCACCCUGCAUGUUCUUCUCCCACGUGGAUAGAGCCUGCUAAGGACUGAGAACUGGUCAUCAACUACCAUCUCUCCUAAGCAGAAGACUGUUUCAAUAGAAAACUCAACUGCAAAAAAAGGGAUGAAGAGGUUUGGGAUCAGACAAACCUGGGUAUGAAUCCCAUGUCCCAUCAUUUUCAAGUUGUGUCCGUUCAGAUACACUUCAACUGGAAAAUGGACAUAAUUCAGAAAACGGACAUAAUGCAACCUUUGCCAGAUGAAAUACAUGUCCCUGUGAAAGUACAUUUUGGAAGACUGGCAGCAUUUAUUAGUAUGUAUCAUUUGUAUAAUAAUUUAAUUGAAAAAAAUGUACCCAGUUCUGUCAUUUACCCUGACGUGACAGUUUAACCGUGUUCAAUGGGCUGAAUCCAGGAGACCUUCAGGCCCAGUGCUGCAGAAGGGGUCAAAGCUCUGUUUCCUCUUCUCGAAGGGCACCUCAUUAGGAAGAGGCUUGCUUGGGGCCAUGGGAGGGUGGGGGCUUCCAUACCUGGAAAUGAUUUUCACUGGCAAAUAUCUUCUUAUUAGUUUCUUCUUUAAAAUAACAUUUUAUAUACGACUUGCUCAAGAGGAGAUCAAAUAAAGGGUGUAAACUGUGGCCAGGAUAUGAGUCGAAAGAAGAAAGAUCAGUGACACAGUGAAACUCAUUUUCCAUAGUGAUUUUUUCAGGGCUGAAGAUUUGUGAAAAAAGAUCUCGUCCAUCCUUUUAUUUCCCCUCCGCUCUUUAAAGUCUUCUGCAACCUAGAAAGAAACUACUCAAAAGCUGAAAACAUUUUCUUUAAAUACUUCCCAGGAAUAUAGUAAAAUCUAUGGGAAUGAAUCAAAGUAAGGAGAUAAUUUAAUCUGAACACACAUAAUAAAUAUGUAAGUCUGAUUGGUUGUAUGGAGGAAUACAUUAGCAUCUUUACCUAGAGUGAGUUUAUAGCAAUAAUAACAAGACAUAGUGUUUUACUUUUCAGAUGACUGAUGUGUUCACCAUAUUUGGUCCUCAUGAACAAUCAUACCUGUGAAAAGUAAAAGGGACCAUGCUUUUAAAAAAGAAAAUGCUAUUUUCCCUAAAUCUCAGCCUCACCAUUGGAAGUUGACAAAAUUAUUUUGAUAAUAGCAACUACAUAGGAGAGUCCUAAUUUUGAACAGUUACUUUCUUUUGAGUAAAUGUGAUUUUAAAAACAUAAAAAAAUAUUUUUAAACACAUGUAAAACUUUUAUUAUGGAGAAUACUUAAGGUUAUACUUGUUCAAGAGAAGAGGUUUAGAAAAUGCAAGUUAAUCAUGAAAAUAUAAGCUAAAAUAUUGGCUCAUUACCUAUAAAACUAUUAUUCAAUUACUGGUGUAUUUUCUUCUGCUGUAUUUGUGUGUGUAUGUUUGAAAUUAAAGUGCAUGGUCCCUCUAUUUCCAUAUAACAUCAUUUCUUGGUAUAUUAUUAUGUGUUUAAUAUUCUUUGAAAACAAGAUUUUUGAUGGGCUUCUUGAUUUAUAAUUAAUCUCUUCAUGUUGAAAAUUUAGGUUUUAAAAAAAUAUUUUUACUAUUAUCAGGUCUUCUAACUGUAUUAAAUAAUUGCUUUUAAUUCCAGAGGAUAAUUUUUAAAAGUUAAACUACUGUGUCCAUGGGUAUAAACUUUAAAAAAAUUUGUACUUAUUAGUAAGAACAAUUUUAACUUAAUAAAUUCCCAUUCGGUACAAGCAAUCUCUUCAGAUAGUAUCUUGAACAAAUGAUGUAUUUACAGUUUGCAGUCAGAAGAUAUACCUGUAGAAAAAGGGAAAAAAAAGAAUUAAAGAAAUUAAUUUAUGUAUCUAAUUAUCACUGUUGUCUGAAGACCAGAAUUCCUUUUGGUGACCUUUUGGAAUUAAAGCUCAGAGCAGAAGAAAAGUCAGACAAAUUCCAUGGAGGAUUGUAGAAUUUUUUUUAUUAAGCUGAGAAAAUACCUCUCUAGUCUUCCUUUACUGAAAGAUUUUGCUGUGAACAAUGCUAGAUUUUGUUAAAUGCUAUUUCUUCAUCAAUUGAUACAAUGAUAUUAUUUCCCUUCAUUAGACUGUUCAUGCCAUGAAUUGUAUUGAUUGGCUUUAGAAUGUUGAAACAGCCUUGCA
Non-coding RNA from Manis javanica (Malayan pangolin), 2518 nucleotides. NCBI's taxonomy places the organism in Eukaryota, Metazoa, Chordata, Mammalia, Pholidota, Manidae. The record is from RefSeq and is a predicted model, not a curated record.